This 101-nucleotide Y RNA is filed under the name Microcebus murinus (gray mouse lemur). Its description in RNAcentral is "Y RNA (ENSMICG00000043993.1)". It matches the Rfam family "Y RNA". Rfam says of the family: Y RNAs are components of the Ro ribonucleoprotein particle (Ro RNP), in association with Ro60 and La proteins. The Y RNAs and Ro60 and La proteins are well conserved, but the function of the Ro RNP is not known. The record is from Rfam by way of RNAcentral. Lineage: Eukaryota; Metazoa; Chordata; Mammalia; Primates; Cheirogaleidae.
GGCUGGUCUGAGUGCAGUGGUGUUUACAACUAAUUGGUCACAACCACUUACAAAUUCCUUUGUUCCUUUCCACUCCCACUGCUUCACUUGACCAGCCUUAA